UAGCCGUAAACGAUACUCGCUAGGUGUCGGCCACGGUGCGACCGUUGUCGGUGCCGUAGGGAAGCCGUGAAGCGAGCCACCUGGGAAGUACGGCCGCAAGGCUGAAACUUAAAGGAAUUGGCGGGGGAGCACCACAACGGGUGGAGCUUGCGGUUUAAUUGGAUUCAACGCCGGACAACUCACCAGGAGCGACGGUUACAUGAAGGCCAGGCUGAUGACCUUGCCGGAUUAGCUGAGAGGUGGUGCAUGGCGUAGUCGUGU
Molecule: ribosomal RNA, 261 nt
Filed under: uncultured archaeon
Lineage: Archaea
Description: partial 16S ribosomal RNA
Rfam family: Archaeal small subunit ribosomal RNA
Source: RNAcentral